This 7275-nucleotide long non-coding RNA is filed under the name Malus domestica (apple). Its description in RNAcentral is "long non-coding RNA (MDOM_LNC005051)". Lineage: Eukaryota; Viridiplantae; Streptophyta; Magnoliopsida; Rosales; Rosaceae. The record is from RNAcentral.
ACCGAAAGUAAAACAUAAGUUGGAAAGAUUUAACCGAGAGGAGAGAACUGUCUGUUCGUCCGUGCGCUGCCAUUUUCUGCCCUCGGUGCUGCCAAGAGCAGCGCACCCUUCUUUUCUGAGCUCCAGGCUGCAAGGGCAGCCUCUGGUUGUUCACGUUCUCCCCCCCCCGUGCUGACCAGUCCUUUAUUUUGCGUGCUGACCUGCCCAAAGGCAGCCUUCUCUCCAGCUACCCCUUUCUCUCUCUCUUAUAUUUCUGCGCUGCUAAGGGCAGCCUUGGUUUCUGGUCAGUCAAGGCUCAAACUGCCAAAUGGCAGCCUCUGCUCUCAUCUUUCCGCUUCUGUCUCUCUAACCUCGCUGCCAAAGGGCAGCCUUCUCUUUCCGUGUCCCAAGACAGCCUUAUCUUUCCGUGUCCCUCUGCCUAAGGCAGCUUACUCUCUCUUCUUCACGCAGCUCUUUGCUGCUCUCUCGUUCCUGGUUCGGUCCGUCUCUCUCGCUGCCCAAAGGCAGCUUCCUCCUUGCGUCUUUUCUUUUGCUGCCAAAGGGCAGCCUCUGCCUUUCUCGCUCCUGCCGUGUCUGCGAGCUGCCCAAAGGGCAGCCCCUCUGUCCACCCCGCUCCAAGACCCCCUCUUUUGCACCAAUCUACUUCUCCUUCUUUUAUUCUUUUCUGACCUCUUGUUCUCUGCUUUUGACUCCUUCUCACGCUGCUCAAAGCAGCUUUAUCUAUAUUCUUCUCCUGUUUCUCAAGGCUGCAAGACAACCUUUUUUUUUCCUUAGCUGUCCCGCCUGCUUUCAUGCCUGGCGCUCCGCAAGUCUCUCCUUGGAUUUCUCGUUGUCUUUCCUUUUUUUCUUGGAUCCCCUUUCUUUAUUUUAUACCUCUUGCUGUCCUUGGAUUCUUCCUUGACAAAAUAAUACAAAACUAAUUUGUAUCAUAAACUCUAAAUUAGUAGCAGUUGGGAAUUAAGAACAAAUUCAAGUAACAAAUCCAAAACCAAUAUUCUAUGAAACAAUCAAUUCAAUGCAUAUAAAAUAAACCAAAAUAAACCAAAAUAAAACCCAAUCCAAAAAUAAAACCAAUAAUCUUUCUGUUUAUUAUUUAAAACUCAUUUGUGCUUAUUUUUAUUUUCUUUGCAUAACAAAUCCUAUAAACAUAAAAAUAACGUAAAUAGCUCAAAAAUAUAAGGAACUAACUAAGAAAAGACGAGUGAAUUCGAAGUAAAAAUAUAUAUAAAUAUGAUCCGAUCAAAUACCCCCACACUUAACUUUUGCUAGUCCUCGAGCAAAACAAAGAAAACAUGAAAAAUUAAUAACAUGAAAAACAUUAGCUUCCCUCUAUGUGACCCUCAUAGAAUUUCAUUCAAGAAAACAAAUCAUCAAGAAACAUAGCUAGCACCAAACAAGUUAAUCCAAAUUCAUCUUCCUUAUUCAAAUAUUAGCAGUAAUCUUUGAAUCAUCCUUGAAGUGUAGUGUGUGAGAUAGCCAUGCUAAUGCAAUUUCAAGUUUUUAUUUUUAAAAAUCAUCAUAUGCAAACUAGUAACCUUCUCACGGGAUAUACACUCAAUCACAUAUGUGUUUAGUUUUAAUGUGUUUCGCUCAAAGAAUCAAAUGUGAAAUUUCUACCAUAAGCUUGCAUAAAGAUCUCAUCUCCACAAUCAUAAUUGCAAAACUUAAAUCAAGAGGACUUUUAUUGGAUGUAAUGAGGUUUAGGAAGAGGGUUAUUGAAAUGAAAGAAUAGGAAAAUACAAGUUCCAAGCUACAUUGCAAGCAAUUCUUUGUCUAGAUUUAUAAGAACUCAAGCUCUCCAACAAUUCUUCUAACACCUCCAACCAUACUUUUAAACUGAAACUUUAAAAACUUUUUAUUUUCUUUUUAUACAAUCUUUCUUUUUUUUUUUCUUUUUUUUUUUUUUUUCUUUUUUAAUUCACAAACAUGAAAUACCCCCACACUUAUUCUUUUGCCAAACAUCUUCACAGUAUUUCACAAACGUUUCUCAUAAGACAAUCUCGCAUUGCUCGCUUGGAAAUGGUAAGGAAAAAUGUUUCAGGUAUAAGGGUAGACAUAUCUGGUGAUAAGAAAUAAAAGGCUCAACAAACACGGCUCAAAUUGGCAAACUAAUGAUAUCAUUUUUCUUUGGGAAACAUGGUUAUUUGGGCCAUAGUGGUAAACCUAAUGCCUCUAUCAUUUCCAAGUUCAAGCAAUCAAUGACAAACAUUUCGAAAGAUCGUUACGCAAGUUCUAGAGAUGUAUCUCACAUAAGUUCAUCACACAUGAAAGAAUAGGAGUGUAUGAAAAAUGCACACACUUUCAAUUGGCUCAAAAACUCACAUAGGAUGUAUAUGGUCACUAAAUUCACAUAUGAAGCUUUAAGUCAUACUUUAGUUUCACAUUAACAAGGCUAUGUGCAUUUGGUUUUUCAAAGAUGGUCAAACAUGUACAAAACUAACAAGAGAAUUAGGAAUUUCAUAAAACACAUGUUAACUAAGUUCUUGAUAAUCGUGAUUCAAAUUUGAUCUAAUUAUAUCAUUGGGUCGGGAAACUAACAAAAAUCUAAUUCAAAACAAUAAGGGAAACAAGACAAUAUUUUUGGAUUUUUAAAUUUUCCGAAAUUUUUUUAAUUUAAAUUUUUUUUAAAAGAAAACAAAACUAAUUAAGAACACAAAAAACAACAACACAGUUUUUUUUUUAUUUUUUAUUUUUUAAAAGAAAACAAAACUAAUUAAGAACACACAAAAAACAACAACACAGAGACAAAUGAAAUUCUGGAGAUUUCUACCCCCAUACUUAAACUUGACAUUGUCCCCAAUGUCAGAAAACACUAUAAUGCAAAUAAAAAAAAAUAAAAAAAUAAAAUAAAAAAAAUAAAAAAAAUAAAAAUAAAAAAAUAAAAAAAUAAAAAAAUAAGAAACAAAAUAACGCAAUUGGACUGAAAACUUCCCUAAUUUGCAGUAAAAUCAAGCGAUGACCCCCAAGCUAAAAUUCUGCAAUCAACUUCAAGGGUGGAAAUAACCAAAAGUUCCUGCAAAGAAAAGAAAUAAUUCAGUUAAGUACGCAAGAAAAUUAAUUAAAAAAAAUUGCAAACGAAAAAUUGAAAAUUACGAUAAAAGAUAAUGAAUAAAACUAAUAAGUAAUCAUUGGUCGUGCUUGUUGACUUUCCACAGCUUUCCUCUUGAACGGGGUGACACUUAGCUUUUUACUAUUUGAUGAUAUUGUACGGCGGAGCUUUGCUCUUUGGGAAUAUUGCAGUUCCUUAUUUGUUCUCCAAGCAGAUGUGGCAGCUUCUCUUGUUCUUCAUCUCAGACUCCUUCUGCUGGGAUGAUUGUGCAAGCUGCAUUCUUCUCUGCUUGUUUCCUCUGCAUGGCGGGCAGGCACGAGGGAGAGGUGUUGGUCUGUUUCUUUCUUCAAUCUUUCCAAGUGCCCACCUCUUGCUCUCUUUCUCCUUGUCCUUAGUUGAGGAUGAAUCAGCACGUUGUCUCCACAUGCUUCGAGGUAUCAUCUUCACUUCCCUUAUACGUAAGAGACGAAGAGGAAACACAAGAUGAUGAGUACUCGAGAGCAAGUGCUGGCUGGAGAAAGGACAGGGAGAAAGCAUGAUAUGAGAUACUCUUGCUUUCAACCUUCAUGAUAUGAAAUACUUUUGCUUUGAAUGGGUUGUUUUCAGGAGUAUCCCAAGGAAUGAGGAACACAGAGUAACUUAGGAGGAUUCUUUGGGAAUGCAUUUUCGGAGAUGAAGAAGUGUUGAGAGGGUGUGCUGAGAGAGUGUGCUUUUGCUGUGGAAGGCGAAGGUAGAUACUUAUAGGGCUUUUCUUCACAACCGGAACUAUUCUCUCACUCAUUGUCGGCAGCCGGUGGAUGAAUGAAUAGUACAAAUUACGCGCUUUCUGACAAAGCUGCCCGUAAUUUCCGCAAAGCAGAUUCCUCAUUGAUAUCUGGAAUCGGCGCUUCGAGCUCUGAGCAACGUCGAUUGUAGAGGUAGCAUGUGACACGUGCGGAUAAAUCUGGAAAAGAAGAUUUGCCCGUGGGUUGAAGCCCAGCUUUUGAGAAAGCUAGCGUGUCUUUGACUGUUGAAUUUCCCUCUUCGAUUUCUGAAUUGGUGCUUCGACAAACUGCCCGAGAAUUUCGCAAAGCAAUUUACGUGUGACAAGUGACGACACGUCUGGACAAAUUGAUCUUUUGAAAUCCGGGGUUCGGCUCGUGGUUUCUGAGCAAGCCCAGCCUUUAAGAAAUGAAACGCCUCUUUUGAGAAAAGAAUCCGGCUUUUGAGAAAGGAGCCUCGCCUCUUCGAUUUGCGAGAGGACGCUUCAUCGAUUUCUGAGGAGCGCCUCUUUGAUUUCUUCCUUUUUAUAGAGGCGUUAAUCUUGCUCCACAACACACUUAUCCCUCCAGUAAACACUCCCUUCUUGCACUUCCGAAAUCUUAACCUGUCCGAUCUCUUCUUUCUCAACACCACCUCUGAAAAAUGUCUGGCCCUUCCGAUCGUCGUUUUGACUUGAACAUUGGUGAAGAGGCAGCUCCGCCUUCACCAGACAAUAUAUGGCGCCCAUCCUUCAUAUCCCCUACCGGUCCUCUUACCGUGGGGGAUUCGGUGAUAAAAAAUGACAUGACCGCUGCGGUGGUGGCCCGAAACCUUGUCACUCCCAGAGAUAACAGACUGCUCGCUAGACGGUCUGAUGAGUUGGCUGUGAAGGAGUCUCUGGCUCUUAGCGUGCAGUGUGCGAGUUCCGUAUCCAACAUGGCCCAACGCCUAUAUGCUCGAACCCGUCACGUUGAAUCGUUGGUGGCUGAAAUACAGAGUCUCAAAGAGGAGAUUAGAGGACUCAAGCAUGAAAAUAAACAAUUGCACAAGCUUGCACACAACUAUGCCACAACCAUGAAGAGGAAGAUUGACCAGAUGCAGGACACCGAUGGUCAAAUUUUACUUGAUCAUCGGAGGUUUUGUGGUUUGUUCCAACAACAUCUGCCUUCGUCUUCUGGAGCGGCACCGCGUAGUGAAGCUCCAACUGAUCAACCUCUGCCGCCUCCUCCUUCUGUGGCCCCGCCGACUGCUGAAGCCCCGCCUACUACUGAAGCACCACCCGACCAAUGAAUUACAUUAUUGUAAAAUAUUUGCAUUUUUUUUUUUUUUUUUUUUUUUAUGUAAAUUUUUUUUUUUUUUUUUUUUAUGUUUUUUUAUUUAUUUUUUUUUUUUUAAUUUUAAAUUUUAUCUUAUUUUUUUUUUUUUUUUUUUUUUUUAUAUAUGUAAAUUAAUGUAAAGAGACUUUGGUUAACCUUCCCCCACACUUAAACUAAAUAACACAAACUCACAGAAAUCAACCAAAUAACACAACUAACAAAACAAAACAAAAUGAAAGCAGUAAAGAUAAGGGUGGAAGAAUGCAAAGCUGAUUGGGUUAGUGAUUCCAAAGUCUCCCUUCGUUGAAUGCUUGGGUUGCCUCCCAACAAGCGCUUGAUUUAACGUCUUUAGCCGGACGCAUCUUUCCUUUAAAUUUCCCUCGACUCCAUUUGAACCUAAAAUCAAAGAAAGAAAAAUAAAUCAAAUAUCAAAAGUAAAAUACACAAACACCAAUAUAAACAUAAACAAAAACAAAAAUAAAAGGAUUAGCAAAGUUGCUAAUCCCCGGCAACGGCGCCAAAAUUUGAUGUGAGAAAUACUUAACACACAAAUUAAACCCUCUUUUUGACAAUUGUAGUAUAGAUGUAAGUAGGGUAUCGUUCUAGGCCGGGGAUUAGGAGGGAUUGCUAAUCUAUUCUAAAUUAAUUUAAAAAUAUUAAAUAAGAUUCAAGGACCCAAAAUUAGGCUAAAAACUCUAAUAACUCGAAACACACUUAAAAUGACUCAAAACAAUGAAAACAAUUAAAUUAAACACUAGGAACUGAAAUGGACGGAAAUUAAAUUAAAAGACUAACAAUAAAGAAAACUAACUAAAUAAUAUAAAUUAAUAAUGGAUGGGUGUUUGGUUUUGAUGAAAAGUAAAUUAAACUUAAUUAAAUUACAGAAUUGAUAAAAACAUAAAAUUAAGGUAAAAUGAUAAAUGACGGACUAGCUAGAGGGUUCUUCUCCACACAUGUUAUACUUGCAUACAAAAUGAUUUCCAGUUGUUCAUUUAAUAAAUUGUGAAUCUCAAUACUCCAGAUUAACCGUGAACAGCACUUUUUUAAUCUUCAAGUUUUCCUUAAGUUAUUGAAUUGGACGGAAAAACGCAUACAACAAUUCAAAACAUUCUUCAAAAGUCCCCUACGUGAAAAGCACAAUAGCGAUACAAUCAAAGAUCAUUAAACUUUGUGAAAACUAUAAGCAUUGACGAGGCAUUCGUAACUAUGAAAAGCAUGAUACUCUUGCCAAGAAUUUACUUAACGUGAUUGUGACUAGCAACCUUUACUACUUGUGAAAAUAAGUUCAUAACGAUUAGGUGAAAUUCACUUAUAUUCUAGCAUCAAAUUCAUGCAUGUAAAUUAAGCGUGCACUCUCAACCAACAUACACAAAUAAGUUAUCAAUCAAGCAGUUAAGCAAAUUAAAUCACAACUCAGAAAUCACAACUGAAGGUAAUCAAUUCAUAUUACAAAUAUAUUCAUGGCUUUGAAUUAACCUCUAGCCAAAUUAAAUUUAGUUACACAUUAUUAAAACAAAAAUAAAAUAAAAGUUUGGAAAGAUUUAACCGAAAGUAAAACAUAAGUUGGAAAGAUUUAACCGAGAGGAGAGAACUGUCUGUUCGUCCGUGCGCUGCCAUUUUCUGCCCUCGGUGCUGCCAAGAGCAGCGCACCCUUCUUUUCUGAGCUCCAGGCUGCAAGGGCAGCCUCUGGUUGUUCACGUUCUCCCCCCCCGUGCUGACCAGUCCUUUAUUUUGCGUGCUGACCUGCCCAAAGGCAGCCUUCUCUCCAGCUACCCCUUUCUCUCUCUCUUAUAUUUCUGCGCUGCCAAGGGCAGCCUUGGUUUCUGGUCAGUCAAGGCUCAAACUGCCAAAUGGCAGCCUCUGCUCUCCUCUUUCCGCUUCUGUCUCUCUAACCUCGCUGCCAAAGGGCAGCCUUCUCUUUCCGUGUCCCAAGACAGCCUUAUCUUUCCGUGUCCCUCUGCCUAAGGCAGCUUACUCUCUCUUCUUCACGCAGCUUCUUGCUGCUCUCUCGUUCCUGGUUCGGUCCGUCUCUCUCGCUGCCCAAAGGCAGCUUCCUCCUUGCGUCUUUUCUUUUGCUGCCAAAGGGCAGCCUCUGCCUUUCUCGCUCCUGCCGUGUCUGCGAGCUGCCCAAAGGGCAGCCCCUCUGUCCACCCCGCUCCAAGACCCCCC